GGGCCGGUAACUCAGUGGUAGAGUGUAGGACUGCAGCCCGUGACCUCUAUACGUCGCUUCAUACUGCCUUCCCGAAGUCACCGGUUCGACUCCGGUUCGGCCCU
Trematosphaeria pertusa is the source of this 104-nucleotide non-coding RNA. NCBI's taxonomy places the organism in Eukaryota, Fungi, Ascomycota, Dothideomycetes, Pleosporales, Trematosphaeriaceae. The record is from the annotation of a RefSeq genome assembly.